UGUGGGAGCUGGCUUGCCUGCGAUAGCGGUGGUUCAGUCGGUAUUUCUGGUGACUGAUACACCGCUAUCGCAGGCAAGCCAGCUCCCACA
RNAcentral lists this non-coding RNA (90 nucleotides) under Pseudomonas tolaasii NCPPB 2192. Lineage: Bacteria; Pseudomonadati; Pseudomonadota; Gammaproteobacteria; Pseudomonadales; Pseudomonadaceae. The record is from RNAcentral.